This 254-nucleotide ribosomal RNA is filed under the name uncultured bacterium. RNAcentral describes it as "partial 16S ribosomal RNA". It matches the Rfam family "Bacterial small subunit ribosomal RNA", at positions 524 to 776 of the family's 1533-position model. The record is from RNAcentral.
UACGUAGGGUGCGAGCGUUGUUCGGAAUUACUGGGCGUAAAGGGCUCGUAGGCGGCCAACUAAGUCGGAUGUGAAAUCCCCAGGCUUAACCUGGGAACUGCAUCCGAUACUGGAUGGCUUGAAUCCGGGAGAGGGAUGCAGAAUUCCAGGUGUGGCGGUGAAAUGCGUAGAUAUCUGGAGGAAUACCGGUGGCGAAGGCGGCAUCCUGGACCGGCAUUGACGCUGAGUGAGCGAAAGCCAGGGGAGCAAACGGG